AUCCAGACUCCUACGGGAGGCAGCAGUGGGGGAUAUUGCACAAUGGGGGAAACCCUGAUGCAGCGACGCCGCGUGGGUGAAGAAGCGCCUCGGCGCGUAAAGCCCUGUCAGCAGGGAAGAAAAUGACGGUACCUGAAGAAGAAGCCCCGGCUAACUACGUGCCAGCAGCCGCGGUAAUACGUAGGGGGCAAGCGUUAUCCGGAUUUACUGGGUGUAAAGGGAGCGUAGACGGCAGUGCAAGUCCGGAGUGAAAGCCCGGGGCUCAACCCUGGGACUGCUCUGGAAACUGUAAAGCUGGAGUGCGGGAGGGGCAGGCGGAAUUCCUGGUGUAGCGGUGAAAUGCGUAGAUAUUAGGAAGAACACCAGUGGCGAAGGCGGCUUGCUGGACAGUAACUGACGUUGAGGCUCGAAAGCGUGGGGAGCAAACAGGAUUAGAUACCCGAGUA
Molecule: ribosomal RNA, 446 nt
Filed under: uncultured bacterium
Lineage: Bacteria
Description: bacterial SSU rRNA
Rfam family: Bacterial small subunit ribosomal RNA
Source: RNAcentral